GUAAUUGAAAAAGCAAAAUAAGCCCAUCAGAAGCAUUCAUUUUUAUCUCUUUCUUAGAUGAGGAGAAGCAAUGAGAAAACAAACAGUACUGCAGAGGUCUUUAGGCGUUAGAGGCAGAGUGAAUGGAACUGCUUUUUAUAAAGUGAUAUGACAGUGUGUAAUGGCAGGAAUAGCACUGCAGCACCUCAUGGAGCACCUCUGCUGACAGACUCACCAGUUUUGUUACGAAGCACGCUCUCUCCUUGUGGCAGCAGCUACAUGAGGACUAUGAGAAAACAGGCUUACAUAAGAAAAGGACAUACUUCCAACAAAUCUCUAUGAACUGGGACACAAGGCCUGAGGGUAGUCUCUGAACAUGCAGACCAGUUUCCUUUCCAAUGAAAGUGAAGGAGCAGAUUCAAGAACUGCACAUAAUGUACCCUAGUCAUUAAUGGAUCCUCAUUGUAGUUACUCCAAAUUAAAACUCCUGAAAUUUGCGUAGUUUGGAUGCCAGUAAUAGUUUUUUUCUGCAUUGUCUUGCACAACUUGUAAACACAGAUGUAGCCAUAUACUGAGCUUAUACCUUCUCUUCCUUUGUUACAGUUGAAGAAAUAUGGGGAGGAGGAAGAAAAUAAAAGAUGACAGGAAAAUACA
RNAcentral lists this long non-coding RNA (633 nucleotides) under Phasianus colchicus (ring-necked pheasant). RNAcentral's name for it is "lncRNA (ENSPCLG00000018069.1)". Lineage: Eukaryota; Metazoa; Chordata; Aves; Galliformes; Phasianidae. The record is from RNAcentral.